CUCUAUUUCCCACCUCCUGUCUUUCGACACACUCUCUCUGUGACCUUGAACCUGAUCAUUCCUUGCCCGGCAACCUGUGACCCCCUUUGCCUUGUCUUUCCCCUCCCCCCGUCACCUCUCCUCUCCUUAGGUUACAGAUGAAUCCCUUGGUUGCAUCCACCUUCAGCCCCCUGCCCUUUCCCUCCACCUAUUUGCCGGAUAAAUCCUGGUCCCAGUGGAGUCCAGCGUUCUGCCUUUAGUGAUCCGGCCCCCAAGCAUGGAACUGCUCUCCAUGGAUGGUCUCUUCCUUCCAUGGGGCUGAGAACCAGCUUUCCAGGGACACUGUCCCCCAAAAGACGCCUGUCUCUAGCCAGCCCCAUCCACCUGCAUUCCAGGCCUCCCCAGCAUCUCCGGUGGACAGCUCGUGGCUCCUGACAUUUAACCGGUCCCAACAGUGUGUCCUCCACCUGCUAACCUCUAACCUGCCCUCCCACAGCAAAUGGAAACACCUUGCUUUCAUUUUCUCAGGUCAAAAAUGCUUGGAAGUGUCCUUGA
Long non-coding RNA from Odocoileus virginianus texanus, 534 nucleotides. RefSeq lists it as uncharacterized. The record is from RefSeq and is a predicted model, not a curated record. Lineage: Eukaryota; Metazoa; Chordata; Mammalia; Artiodactyla; Cervidae.